GAACGCUGGCGGCGUGCCUAAAACAUGCAAGUCGAACGGUGUAGCGAUACGCAGUGGCGAACGGCGGAGUAAUACAUAAGCAACGUGCCCUGAAGACUGGGAUAGUCAGAGGAAACUCUGGGUAAUACCAGAUGUGGCCCCUUUCCGGCAUCGGAGAGUGGUUAGAUGGUUUUUCGCUUCUGGAGCGGCUUAUGGCCUAUCAGGUAGUUGGUGAGGUAACGGCUCACCAAGCCGACGACGGGUAGCGGGUCUGAGAGGAUGAUCCGCUCGAGUGGGACUGAGACACGGCCCACACACCUACGGGUGGCAGCAGUUGGGAAUCUUGCACAAUGGGGGAAACCCUGAUGCAGCGACGCCGCGUGGAGGAUGAAGGAUCUAGGUCUGUAAACUCCUUUUUCAGGGAAAGACUUAGGACGGUACCCUGAGAAUAAGGACCGGCUAACUACGUGCCAGCAGCCGCGGUAAGACGUAGGGUCCAAGCGUUGUCCGGAUUUACUGGGCGUAAAGAGCGCGUAGGCGGCUCGUUAAGUGUGAAGUGAAAUCUCCAGGGCUCAACCCGGAAACUGCUUUACAUACUGGCGAGCUGGAGUGAUGCAGAGGUUUGUGGAAUUCCUGGUGUAACGGUGAAAUGUGUUGAUAUCAGGAGGAACACCCAUGGCGAAGGCAGCAAACUGGGCAUCAACUGACGCUGAGGCGCGAAAGCGUGGGUAGC
This 712-nucleotide ribosomal RNA is filed under the name uncultured soil bacterium. Its description in RNAcentral is "bacterial SSU rRNA". It matches the Rfam family "Bacterial small subunit ribosomal RNA", at positions 31 to 769 of the family's 1533-position model. The record is from RNAcentral.